AGAGUUUGAUCAUGGCUCAGAUUGAACGCUGGCGGCAUGCUUUACACAUGCAAGUCGAGCGGCAGCGCGGGGGCAACCCUGGCGGCGAGCGGCGGACGGGUGAGUAAUGCAUCGGAACGUAUCCCGUAGUGGGGGACAACCCAGCGAAAGCUGGGCUAAUACCGCAUAUGCUCUACGGAGGAAAGUGGGGGACCUGCAAGGGCCUCACGCUAUGGGAGCGGCCGAUGUCCGAUUAGCUAGUUGGUGGGGUAAAGGCUUACCAAGGCGACGAUCGGUAGCUGGUCUGAGAGGAUGAUCAGCCACACUGGGACUGAGACACGGCCCAGACUCCUACGGGAGGCAGCAGUGGGGAAUUUUGGACAAUGGGGGCAACCCUGAUCCAGCCAUGCCGCGUGCGGGAAGAAGGCCUUCGGGUUGUAAACCGCUUUUGGUCGGGAAGAAAGGGCGCCGGAUAAUACCUGGCGUUGUUGACGGUACCGGCAGAAUAAGCACCGGCUAACUACGUGCCAGCAGCCGCGGUAAUACGUAGGGUGCGAGCGUUAAUCGGAAUUACUGGGCGUAAAGCGUGCGCAGGCGGUAAGUUAAGUCUGAUGUGAAAGCCCCGGGCUCAACCUGGGAAUGGCAUUGGAAACUGGCUUGCUUGAGUGUGGCAGAGGGGGGUGGAAUUCCGCGUGUAGCAGUGAAAUGCGUAGAGAUGCGGAGGAACACCGAUGGCGAAGGC
RNAcentral lists this ribosomal RNA (721 nucleotides) under uncultured bacterium. RNAcentral describes it as "bacterial SSU rRNA". It matches the Rfam family "Bacterial small subunit ribosomal RNA", at positions 8 to 722 of the family's 1533-position model. The record is from RNAcentral.